GGUAGAGUGGCUGAGUAUAGCAUUAGACUGUAAAUCUAAUCACAGAGGUUUGAGUCCUCUUUUUACCA
This 68-nucleotide transfer RNA is filed under the name Micaelamys namaquensis (Namaqua Micaelamys). RNAcentral's name for it is "tRNA-Tyr". It matches the Rfam family "tRNA". Rfam says of the family: Transfer RNA (tRNA) molecules are approximately 80 nucleotides in length. Their secondary structure includes four short double-helical elements and three loops (D, anti-codon, and T loops). The record is from RNAcentral. Lineage: Eukaryota; Metazoa; Chordata; Mammalia; Rodentia; Muridae.